GAUUUGGCAGGGUCAUAGGACAAUAGUGGAGGGAAGGUCAGCAGAUAAACAAGUGAACAAAGGUCUCUGGUUUUCCUAGGCAGAGGACCCUGCGGCCUUCCGCAGUGUUUGUGUCCCUGGGUACUUGAGAUUAGGGAGUGGUGAUGACUCUUAAGGAGCAUGCUGCCUUCAAGCAUCUGUUUAACAAAGCACAUCUUGCACUGCCCUUAAUCCAUUUAACCCUGAGUGGACACAGCACAUGUUUCAGAGAGCACAGGGUUGGGGGUAAGGUCACAGAUCAACAGGAU
Molecule: long non-coding RNA, 287 nt
Filed under: Homo sapiens (human)
Lineage: Eukaryota; Metazoa; Chordata; Mammalia; Primates; Hominidae
Description: LHRI_LNC1789.1
Source: RNAcentral